This 649-nucleotide ribosomal RNA is filed under the name Latilactobacillus curvatus. RNAcentral describes it as "bacterial SSU rRNA". It matches the Rfam family "Bacterial small subunit ribosomal RNA", at positions 52 to 677 of the family's 1533-position model. The record is from RNAcentral. Lineage: Bacteria; Bacillati; Bacillota; Bacilli; Lactobacillales; Lactobacillaceae.
CGCACUCUCGUUAGAUUGAAGAAGCUUGCUUCUGAUUGAUAACAUUUGAGUGAGUGGCGGACGGGUGAGUAACACGUGGGUAACCUGCCCUAAAGUGGGGGAUAACAUUUGGAAACAGAUGCUAAUACCGCAUAAAACCUAGCACCGCAUGGUGCAAGGUUGAAAGAUGGUUUCGGCUAUCACUUUAGGAUGGACCCGCGGUGCAUUAGUUAGUUGGUGAGGUAAAGGCUCACCAAGACCGUGAUGCAUAGCCGACCUGAGAGGGUAAUCGGCCACACUGGGACUGAGACACGGCCCAGACUCCUACGGGAGGCAGCAGUAGGGAAUCUUCCACAAUGGACGAAAGUCUGAUGGAGCAACGCCGCGUGAGUGAAGAAGGUUUUCGGAUCGUAAAACUCUGUUGUUGGAGAAGAACGUAUUUGAUAGUAACUGAUCAGGUAGUGACGGUAUCCAACCAGAAAGCCACGGCUAACUACGUGCCAGCAGCCGCGGUAAUACGUAGGUGGCAAGCGUUGUCCGGAUUUAUUGGGCGUAAAGCGAGCGCAGGCGGUUUCUUAAGUCUGAUGUGAAAGCCUUCGGCUCAACCGAAGAAGUGCAUCGGAAACUGGGAAACUUGAGUGCAGAAGAGGACAGUGGAACUCCAUGUGUA